UUUCCGUAGGUGAACCUGCGGAGGGAUCAUUACAGAGUUCUCGCCCUCGCGGGUAGAUCUCCCACCCACUGUUAUCGUUACUGUGUUGCUUUGGCGGGCCGCCGGGCCCCGCUCGGGCGCCGGCUCCGGCUGGCGGCCGCCCGCCAGAGGCCAAGCACACUCUUAAUGGUAGUGUUGUCGGAUUACUAUAUAAUAGUUAAAACUUUCAACAACGGAUCUCUUGGUUCUG
Molecule: unclassified non-coding RNA, 229 nt
Filed under: plant metagenome
Description: partial contains small subunit ribosomal RNA, internal transcribed spacer 1, and 5.8S ribosomal RNA
Source: RNAcentral